GGGCGUGUGGGGGUGUUGGAAUGUUGGGAAGGUAGGCUCCAUGCUUUUUGCAUCGAACUGCCACACCGCAUCCUUUUCAAGCCUCAAGCAUUACUUUUAUGCUUGUGAGUCGACCGUGUUCCUGUAUUUGAUACCCAUGUUGGAGGAACUAGGCCCCAGUCCUCUUUUGUCCUCUUGGUGCCUCUUAGGGGCAUCGAGGGGAGCACGAAGUUUGAUCUUUCRAMCCUAGCAUGCCUGUGUUGGUUGCRACGGUUGUCGGAUCAAACCUUGUGUUCUCGGAUGCGGAAUAUUCGAUGGGUCCAAGGAUCGUAUCCUUGCUUCGGCCYUGUGNGGGAAAUCGUCCCUCGAUAAGAACGACAUCCGUKGKGCGUUCCGAAACAUCCGACGNCCUCUCGSCUGAGGAUGCUYCGUGCNUGCACCGGUGUCCUCGAAGGAAUGCUACCUGGUGAUCCUGCCAGUAGCCAUAUGCUUGUCUCAAGAUUAAGCAUGCAUGU
Molecule: unclassified non-coding RNA, 494 nt
Filed under: Stigmaphyllon ciliatum
Lineage: Eukaryota; Viridiplantae; Streptophyta; Magnoliopsida; Malpighiales; Malpighiaceae
Description: partial contains external transcribed spacer and 18S ribosomal RNA
Source: RNAcentral